Molecule: non-coding RNA, 28 nt
Filed under: Mus musculus (house mouse)
Lineage: Eukaryota; Metazoa; Chordata; Mammalia; Rodentia; Muridae
Source: RNAcentral
CAGAAACACGAUUGGUGCUUGCAUGGCA